Nannospalax galili (Upper Galilee mountains blind mole rat) is the source of this 158-nucleotide small nuclear RNA. Its record names the gene U1. It matches the Rfam family "U1 spliceosomal RNA". Rfam says of the family: U1 is a small nuclear RNA (snRNA) component of the spliceosome (involved in pre-mRNA splicing). Its 5' end forms complementary base pairs with the 5' splice junction, thus defining the 5' donor site of an intron. There are significant differences in sequence and secondary structure between metazoan and yeast U1 snRNAs, the latter being much longer (568 nucleotides as compared to 164 nucleotides in human). NCBI's taxonomy places the organism in Eukaryota, Metazoa, Chordata, Mammalia, Rodentia, Spalacidae. The record is from Ensembl.
AGAGUCUGGCAAUGGGAGGCACUGUGAUCAUGAAGGUGGUUUUUUUCAGGGCAAUGUUCACCCAUUGUAUUCUAGAUGUGUUGACCAUUGCAAUUUCCCCAAAUUGGGGAAACUUGACUGCAAUUUGUGAAUGGGAAAUUGUUUUUACCUUCUUCCUA